AGAGUUUGAUCCUGGCUCAGGACGAACGCUGGCGGUGCGCCUUAUGCAUGCAAGUCGAGCGAAGCUUUUCAGUAGUUUACUACAGAAAAUGACUAAGCGGCGAACGGGUGAGUAACGCGUGAGCAACCUACCUUAGUUACUGGGAUAGCCCGAGGAAACUCGGAUUAAUACCGGAUAUUCUUAUUUAAUCACAUGAUUUUUUAAGGAAAGGUCAGCCGAACUAAGAUGGGCUCGCGUUCUAUCAGCUAGUUGGUAGGGUAACGGCCUACCAAGGCUACGACGGAUAGCUGGUCUGAGAGGACGAUCAGCCACACUGGGACUGAGACACGGCCCAGACUCCUACGGGAGGCUGCAACAGGGAAUAUCGCGCAAUGAGCGAAAGCUUGACGCAGCGACACCGCGUGUGGGAUGACGGAUCUAGGUUUGUAAACCACUUUCAGGAGGGAAGAAAAUGACGGUACCUCCACAAGAAGCCCCGGCCAACUACGUGCCAGCAGCCGCGGUAAUACGUAGGGGGCGAGCGUUGUCCGGAUUUAUUGGGCGUAAAGAGCUCGUAGGCGGUUCAACAAGUCGGUCGUGAAAGUUCAGGGCUCAACCCUGAAAUGUCGAUCGAUACUGUUGUGACUAGGAUACGGUAGAGGUGAGUGGAAUUCCGAGUGUAGCGGUGAAAUGCGUAGAUAUUCGGAGGAACACCAAUUGCGAAGGCAGCUCACUGGGCCGCUAUCGACGCUGAGGAGCGAAAGCUAGGGGAGCAAACAGGAUUAGAUACCCUGGUAGUCCUAGCUGUAACGAUGGAUACUAGACGUAGGAUUGGAUUACGAUUUCUGUGUCGUAGCUAACGCGUAGUAUCCCGCUGGGGAGUACGUCGCAGACUUAAACUCAAAGAUGGACGGGACCCUGCACAGCGGCGGAGCAUGCGGCUUAUCGAUGGAUACCGUAGAACUACUGGACUUGAACAUAGGAAGUUUAGAAAUAUAAUGUGGCAUAGCCCCUAUACAGGGGUGCCAUGCGUCUCCACCUUGGUCUGGAAGUUGGUUAGUUCGCACAGAGCAACCGUUCUAUUGGCUAAGAAUGGUGGGGGACU
This 1084-nucleotide ribosomal RNA is filed under the name uncultured bacterium. RNAcentral describes it as "bacterial SSU rRNA". It matches the Rfam family "Bacterial small subunit ribosomal RNA", at positions 8 to 1133 of the family's 1533-position model. The record is from RNAcentral.